This 253-nucleotide ribosomal RNA is filed under the name uncultured bacterium. Its description in RNAcentral is "partial 16S ribosomal RNA". It matches the Rfam family "Bacterial small subunit ribosomal RNA", at positions 524 to 776 of the family's 1533-position model. The record is from RNAcentral.
UACGGAGGGGGCGAGCGUUAUUCGGAAUUAUUGGGCGUAAAGGGCGCGUAGGCGGCCCGGUAAGUCAAAGGUGAAAUCCCUCGGCUCAACUGAGGAACUGCCUUUGAAACUGUCGGGCUUGAGGCCGGGAGGGGGUAGCGGAAUUCCCAGUGUAGCGGUGAAAUGCGUAGAUAUUCGGAGGAACACCAGUGGCGAAGGCGGCUCACUGGCUCGGUACUGACGCUGAGGUGCGAAAGCGUGGGGAGCAAACAGG